Molecule: long non-coding RNA, 4203 nt
Organism: Heterocephalus glaber (naked mole-rat)
Lineage: Eukaryota; Metazoa; Chordata; Mammalia; Rodentia; Bathyergidae
Source: Ensembl
CUAGUGGCCAUGUCUGCUGAACCGAGGAGGAGGUCCUGAGGGUCCCUCUUUCACUAGGAGAAGGAAACAAAGGCUUCACUGACUCUCGGGGCCCAGCACAUCCUGCCCCAGCUCCGACAUCCUCUCUUGCUCCUGCUGCUGUUCCUGGAAGCUGCUAAGACUGCUAGGGUGCUCCUGCCUCAGGGCCUUUGCAGUAGCCAGGUCCUCCUCCUGCAGAUUUGUGGCUUCCUCCUCACCCCUUCAAAUAUCUGCACAGAGAUCUGCCUCUUCUUGAGCCUUUUCUAACCUCGCUAUUUAAAAUCAUAGUGCCCCCACCACCACCUUUCUUUCUUUCCCCUGAUUUAUUUUUUCACUGCAUCUUCUGAGUUUUGGUUUGUAUUUUUCAUCUCUAGUCACCGAAUGCAAGCUCAAGCCUGUCAUCUCUUGGCUUGCUUUUUUUCCCAGUGCCUGGCACGGAUCAGGCAAAGGCAUUUGUUGAUUGGCAACAAAGUCAGGAUUACUGCUCUUAAACUUAAGCUCCUUUUAUUAUUUUGUUUGAGCAAAUGCCAACAUUUCCUCCCAGUAGAGCUUGUCUUACAUAAUUGCAGUUAAUUAUUCCAGUUAGCGUGGGAAGAGAGAUUCCCUCAGGGACACAGGGGAAAGAAGAAAAAUCCAGACAGUAGAUUUUGACACUUGUUUCUAAUGUCUCUGAAACUACAGGAAAAGAGAAGCUCUAUAGAGAGUGGGUUUGUCUUAAUAAGGCCAAGUGGAAGCCAGAGUGAUGGCCCAGGGAAGCCAGGCCUGAAUCAUAGAACUUGUGUCUGGGAGCAGCAGGCAGAGAAGGCAGACAUGGGACAAGCAGUGACCUCCCUCCUGUCUCCAUACCUGCCCCUCCUCUGGAGCCCUGUGGUCAGGACCCUCAGGGCUGCACUGGAUGCAGCUGCUCAGCUUGGGCUACUCCUAUGCUGCCUGAGUUGGAGUUUGGAUGGCUGUGGCACCAGAUGUCUUCUCUCUGUUUCCUGGGCUGUGGGCUACUGCCCCAGGCUGCACUGAGCCCUCUCUGCCUGUGUGGUCUCCUUAACCUGCAGGAACAGCCCCCAACUGCCAGGAGUUUGUUUGCAGAUUUGACUUCUGAAGUCCCCUCUCCUAAAAACAAAGGGUCUGAAGAUCAAAGUCAUCUGUGAAAGGUCGAAUAGAUUUAAUCAACUUCUUUAUUGCAGCAUGCCCUUGUGGCCUCACGGGUGUACUGUAUGAUCGAUCAGCUGACAGAGGAAGAGAUAACUAGGGCCUAGCUUAUGGAUGGUUCUGCACAUUAUGCAGGCUGAACUAGAAAGUGGACAGCUGCAGCAUUACUGCCCCUGUCCAGGACAUCCCUGGACAGUGGAAAAGGGAAAUCUUUACAAUGGGCAGAACCUCAGGCAAUGCACCUGGUCACAUAUUUUGCUUGGAAGAAAAGUAGCAAGAUGUGCAACUGUAUGAUGCUUACGUGGGCUGUAGCCAGUGAUCUGGCUGGAUCUUGAGAACUUGGGGGAAGGAACAUGUAUUUGGGAAAUGACAAAUGCAUUUGGGAAAGAAGUAUCUACAACCCACAGUGCCUCACUGGCUACUGGUUCAGUCCUGAGGACUCUGUAAUGGGCUUCUGGCUGCAAUGGGCUUCAAGGGGUCCAUACCUCUUGUCUCAUUUUUACACCUCCAAGGAAUGAACAGAGGCUGCUCUUCAAGUAUAGACUGAGAAACACAAAGACCCCAAAUCCAUAAUACUCUAAAAUCUAAAAUUUGUUGAGCAUCAGCAGGACACCACAAGUGGAAAUUUCCACACUCUGAAACUUUGCUUCAUGUGUGAAAUUUAUAAGAAGUUUUAGGGUUUCCUUUGACACAGCAAUAACUUCAUGUUAAUUAUGUUAGUUUCAUAUGUUGGCUUUUAUAGGUAGAUUAAAUAUAAAUGGGAGAAAUGUUUAUAAUAGAUCAUUCACAUAUACUUGUCUCUACUAAGUGUAUUUUCAUCCAGGUAUAUAAAAAAGGGGUUAAGAUUGCUUUAUUCUUUGUUCCUCAUUAAGUAUAACAUUACUAAGAGUUAAAAUUCUAAUGUAUAAUUCUAUAAAAAGGGAUAUAUAUGUUUCUAUUUUAAAAGAACAUAUUUUAUCUUACUAAGGAAAAAAGUACCUUUUCCAAAUUCAGAAAUUUUGAAGUUUGUUUUAAAGGUAAAUUUAAAGAAUGAGGACAAGGCAGAAAGAAGAGGGAGAAGUAAAGGAUAUGGGUAAGAGAAUAUUUUUGGCAAGAAAAGAUCUGUGUGGUGAGAAGUUGAACUACCAGAAAUUAAGAAGAAAGAUGAGGACAAGAUCAGAAAGCUACUGUACAUCACAAAAAGUUUGUCAGUGAUAUUUGUGAGAGAAAAUUUCUAAGUAUGAUAAGGUUGCCUAUAAUUUCACAAACUUUAAAGAGUUUUUUUAAAUGCAAAAUUUCUAACAUUACUGUGAAAUCCAAUUCUAUGUUUAAAACAAUACUAUGUUAAAAUGUUGAUGCACUAAGUAAAAAUUUACAGAAAGUCGUCUAAGAAAAGGUUUCUGUUUAUCAAGAUAAUUUCUUCUGUUUUCUUCUCUUAGGUCUUUGAUUACCAAGGAAACUGAGUCUUAAUAGAGUCUGGAUUUAUUUAAAUGAUCAGUUUAUAACUGUGAUUAAAUGAACAUCUGUUAUUUUAGGUUACUGUAGUAUGCUUGACCAUUCCUAUGUCUGAGACUAGAACUGUAUAAUGCAAGGACUACCCAUGCUGUGAGAAUGUGCAAAGGUUGUGAAACUAAUGAUGCAUAAGUUUGAUGCAUAGUCAGUAACCAGUAUGUGCUGUCUCACACAACAUGCACAGCAUCUGCACCUUGAACUUAUGAAAUGGUCAGAAAAACCUAACAUUUCUGCUGCUAUCCAGGACCAUUGCAGGGGGAGGGGGAGGUUCCAUGUAGACAACCUUGCUAUUUAAACUAUAGUCCAUGUCUACUGGAUGUAACUCAGUAAUUUAUUGCACAAAUGAGACACACUUGUAUAUCAGGUAAUAAGUCUAUUUGAGGCCAUUAACAAUGUUUCUACACUUCAUCUUAGCCAAAAGGCGAGAAGCGAUUAUUAACAAUGUUUCUUAAUCUUGUAUGAGAUCCAGAGCCAUUCUCUGAUUUUUGCCACUAUGGUUAAACUUUGAAGAUGUCUCAAGUACCAAAUUUACAUGAUUAUAGCUAUAGUACUGAGCCAUCAAUUCUGAAUUUUGCCUUGAAAGUGAAAAGUUAAGUUGAUAUGUAAACAUUUCUAUGCAACAAUGCUGCUAAUUAUUACUUCUUUGUAUGUCAAAUGCUGUCACUCCCUCAGUGUGCAAGCCUUCUAAUUUUAUUAGAAUAAUUAGAUAUGGUUAAACACAGGGAAUUCUAGGGCUGGGGAUUUAGCUCAGUGGUUCCACCAUCUGCCUCGCAAGCACAUGGUCCCAAGUUCAAUCCCCAUACCAAAAAAAACCAAAACCAAAAAAAAACCAAAACCAAACCACAGGUAUUCCAAAAUUGGUGACCUAAAAGACACAUUUGUAAGCAAAUAUAUUCUACUUAAAAGGACUCUAAUUCUGACACAACUAGAAUUAUGUUUCUUAAACUAUUAUGCUGUUUUGCUUUUAUUAUCUUUGUAUUGCAUUUUCCGUGUAAUAGUUUGCAAGUGUGGUCUGUUCACAUUCCUCAGGGUUAUGGCUUCUAACAGAAAAUGUGAACAGAAUUUUGGGAAGAUAGGCCAUUCCCUGUGAGAUGGAUGGGCUCUGACACAGACUCCUCACAGCUAAAAAGAAUUACAACAGGAUUACAGUUGCUGCCCCACAUGGAGAAUAGUAUAACUGACCUUGUUGGUGUUCAACAACUGAGGCUUGGAGACCAAAGCUAAGGGAGGUAAAAGGACAAAGAGGCAGGGGCUUAAUCACCAUUUUUGCUAUGAACCAUGGCUCUUCAGUUGGGCUGCAGAUGCUGGAUAGGUGACUAACAGCAGAACACAGCUGGACCAUUAUUUGUAUCCUUGUCACUGUAAAUCCUGAGUCAGAUCUCUUCUCAGAUCUGCAUAAGGGCCUGCUGGUCAUUUAGGAUCUGGCUGGACCGGGUUGACCUGAAUUUUGAAGGUCUCAUCCCCUUCAAGACUGAGGACACAAGAUGAGAGGUUUACAGGGACACUAAGCUACACCCAGAAGCCUAUAGCCACUGACCUGAACCUGUG